CUACGGGGGCUCCAGCAAGGAAUAUUGUGCAAUGGGCGAAAGCCUGACACAGCGACGCCGCGUGGGGGAUGAAGGCCUUCGGGUUGUAAACCCCUUUUCCUAGGGAAGAAUAAUGACGGUACCUGGGGAAUAAGUCUUGGCUAACUACGUGCCAGCAGCCGCGGUAAUACGUAGAAGGCAAGCGUUAUCCGGAUUUAUUGGGCGUAAAGAGGGUGUAGGCGGUUCUUCAAGUCGGAUGUAAGAUCUCCCGGCUUAACUGGGAGGGAUCAUUCGAAACUGUUGGGCUAGAGUGCAGUAGAGGGAGGUGGAAUUCCCGGUGUAGUGGUGAAAUGCGUAGAUAUCGGGAGGAACACCAGUGGCGAAGGCGGCCUCCUGGGCUGUUACUGACGCUGAGGCCCGAAAGCGUGGGGAGCGAACAGGAUUAGAUACCCGGGUAGUC
RNAcentral lists this ribosomal RNA (439 nucleotides) under uncultured bacterium. RNAcentral describes it as "partial 16S ribosomal RNA". It matches the Rfam family "Bacterial small subunit ribosomal RNA", at positions 339 to 795 of the family's 1533-position model. The record is from RNAcentral.